CCUAUUGUAAUAACGUUGCGGGCGAAAUACUCCGGCUGGCAAAGGUUAAGGCCUAACGUCCGAGCCGUAUGGGAUCCAGACUCGGAAAUAGGACUAAGGCAGUCAGCCGAGUAGACCGAAACCGGGUGAUCUAUCCAUGUUCCAGGUUGAAGUUGCCGUAAAAGGCAAUGGAGGACCGAACCCACAUCCGUUGAAAAGGUGGGGAUGAGGUGUGGAUAGGGGAGAAAUUCCAAUCGAACCCGGAGAUAGCUGGUUCUCCUCGAAAUAGCUUUAGGGCUAGCCUCAUACGAGUCUUGCGGAGGUAGAGCACUGAAUUUCCUAGGGGGCGUCAAAGCUUACCGAAGAAUAUCAAACUCCGAAUGCCGCGUAGAUGAUGUAUGGGAGUCAGACUGCACGAGAUAAGUUGGGCAGUCGAAAGGGAAAGAGCCCAGACCUGCGGCUAAGGCCCCAAAAUGUGUGUUAAGUGGAAAAGGAUGUGGGAUUUCGAAGACAACUAGGAUGUUGGCUCAGAAGCAGCCAUGCAUUCAAAGAGUGCGUAAUAGCUCACUAGUCGAGAGGUCCCGCGCCGAAAAUGUCCGGGGCUGAAACACACUGCCGAAGCCCGGGGAUGUACCAAGUACAUCGGUAGAGGAGCAUUGGAUGCGGGAGGAAGCGGCACCGGAAGGAGCCGUGGACCGCAUCGAAGAGAGAAUGCCGGAAUGAGUAGCGAGAGGAAGGUGGGAAUCCUUCCGGCCGAAUAUCCAAGGUUUCCAGAGUAAAGCUGAUCUGCUCUGGGUAAGUCGGGGCCUAAGGCGAGGGCGGGAGCCGUAGCCGAUGGACAACAGGUUGAGAUUCCUGUACCGCGAUAUGACAGAACUGUGGGGACACGCGUGGAAAGCAUAAGCCGGGAAUGGAAAGACCGGCGCAAGCGGGGCAGGGGCUGCAUAGGCAAAUCCGUGCAGCGUAACCCGAAGCCGUGACGCGUACCGAACUGCAAGUAGGGAAGUAUGCGAGCCAUGCGUCAAGAAAAGCCGCUAUCGCUCAUAUCGCGCCCGUACCGCAAACCGACACAGGUAGAUGAGGAGAGAAUCCUAAGGCCGACGGGAGAAGCAUUGUCAAGGAACUCGGCAAAAUGACUCCGUAACUUCGGGAGAAGGAGUGCCAUAGAGAUAUGGCCGCAGAGAAUUGGCCCAAGCAACUGUUUAGCAAAAACACAGGUCUAUGCGAAGCCGCAAGGCGAGGUAUAUGGGCUGACGCCUGCCCGGUGCUGGAAGGUUAAGGGGAGAGGUUAGAGCGAUCGAAGCCUUGAACUUAAGCCCCAGUAAACGGCGGCCGUAACUAUAACGGUCCUAAGGUAGCGAAAUUCCUUGUCGGGUAAGUUCCGACCCGCACGAAAGGCGUAAUGAUUUGGGCACUGUCUCGACAAUGCACCCGGUGAAAUUGAAGUACCAGUGAAGAUGCUGGUUACCCGCGCCAGGACGGAAAGACCCCAUGGAGCUUUACUCCAGCUUGAUACUGGGAUCCGGUAUUGCAUGUACAGGAUAGGUGGGAGGCUAGGAAGCGGGGACGCCAGUCGCCGCGGAGCCGCUGUUGGGAUACCACCCUUGCAGUGCUGGGUUUCUAACCAGCAGCCGUGAACCGGCUGGGGGACAAUGUCAGGCGGGGAGUUUGACUGGGGCGGUCGCCUCCGAAAGGGUAUCGGAGGCGCUCAAAGGUCCUCUCAGAAUGGUCGGAAACCAUUCGCAGAGCGCAAAGGCAGAAGAGGGCUUGACUGCGACACCGACGGGUGGAGCAGGUACGAAAGUAGGACUUAGUGAUCCGGUGGUAUAAAGUGGGAUUGCCAUCGCUCAACGGAUAAAAGCUACCCUGGGGAUAACAGGCUUAUCACUCCCAAGAGUUCACAUCGACGGAGUGGUUUGGCACCUCGAUGUCGGCUCAUCGCAUCCUGGGGCUGAAGUAGGUCCCAAGGGUUGGGCUGUUCGCCCAUUAAAGCGGUACGCGAGCUGGGUUCAGAACGUCGUGAGACAGUUCGGUCCCUAUCCGGCGCGGGCGUAGGAUAUUUGAGAGGAGCUGUCCUUAGUACGAGAGGACCGGGAUGGACUGGCCGCUGGUGGAUCU
Molecule: ribosomal RNA, 2097 nt
Filed under: [Clostridium] scindens ATCC 35704
Lineage: Bacteria; Bacillati; Bacillota; Clostridia; Lachnospirales; Lachnospiraceae
Description: bacterial LSU rRNA
Rfam family: Bacterial large subunit ribosomal RNA
Source: RNAcentral